UUAGGAAUAUUCGUCAAUGGAGGAAACUCUGAACGAGCAAUGCCGCGUGAAGGAUGACGGUCCUUUGGAUUGUAAACUUCUGUUGUUAGGAACGAACCGCCUAAGUAGGAAAUGACUUAGGUCUGACGGUACCUUUCAAGAAAGCUCCGGCUAACUACGUGCCAGCAGCCGCGGUAAUACGUAGGGAGCGAGCGUUAUCCGGAUUUAUUGGGUGUAAAGCGUGUGUAGACGGUUUCUUAAGUCUAUAGUCUAAGCCUGGAGCUUAACUCCAGUUCGCUAUGGAAACUGAGAGACUUGAGUAUG
This 303-nucleotide ribosomal RNA is filed under the name uncultured bacterium. Its description in RNAcentral is "bacterial SSU rRNA". It matches the Rfam family "Bacterial small subunit ribosomal RNA", at positions 355 to 650 of the family's 1533-position model. The record is from RNAcentral.